AUCGAGAGAGGGGCUUCGCGCUCCCGGGGGCUUCGGCCCCUACCUCUUCACCCAUUGCUAAUUUACCCUUGUUGCUUUGGCGGAUCGCGGGGUACUCCCCGCGCCGAUCUACCGGUCGGUGAGCGUCCGCCAGAGGCCUAUUAAACUCUGUUUAUUAGUGACGUCCGAGUAAAAACAAAUAAUAAAAACUUUCAACAACGGAUCUCUUGGUUCCAGCAUCGAUGAAGAACGCAGCGAAAUGCGAUAAGUAAUGUGAAUUGCAGAAUUCAGUGAAUCAUCGAAUCUUUGAACGCACAUUGCGCCCCCUGGUAUUCCGGGGGGCAUACCUGUUCGAGCGUCAUUGCACCCCUCAAGCGCAGCUUGGUAUUGGGCUCUCGCCCCCGCGGCGUGCCCGAAAAGCAGUGGCGGUCCGGUGUGACUUUAAGCGUAGUAAAUUUCUCCCGCUUUGAAAGGUCGCCCCGUGGCCUGCCAGACAACCCCAUAUACUCCAAUAAUUGACCCUCGGAUCAGGUAGGGAUACCCCGCUGAACUAAGCA
This 536-nucleotide ribosomal RNA is filed under the name Parmelia serrana. RNAcentral's name for it is "eukaryotic LSU rRNA". The stretch from base 187 to 340 matches the Rfam family "5.8S ribosomal RNA". Lineage: Eukaryota; Fungi; Ascomycota; Lecanoromycetes; Lecanorales; Parmeliaceae. The record is from RNAcentral.